UGGAGGCAAUGAUAUCUGACUGGAGAUCUCUGUAUACCUGAGGCCUUCUGAAGUGUUCAGACUCACAGAGAGGAAUAGCAGCUGUUCCUGUCACAUUAAGGAGAAAACGAAAAAGUUUCUUUAUUCGAGGGCACUAUAGGCUUUCAGAUUAUUUACUGCUGAAUCUGUUGCAGAAUGUCAAUGCCCUGGGCAUAGCAAGGCCUGUUCCUCCACGCACUGGAUGAUGUGAAGGCAGCACUGAAGGGAAACCCAUUGCAGAGGUCUUUUUAUAAGAAUGUUUGGCAUCUGCUUGCACAAGUUUUGAGGAAAUAAAGCACAUUAUAAUUAAACUUUGAA
Lagopus leucura (white-tailed ptarmigan) is the source of this 336-nucleotide long non-coding RNA. RefSeq lists it as uncharacterized. The transcript has 3 exons. NCBI's taxonomy places the organism in Eukaryota, Metazoa, Chordata, Aves, Galliformes, Phasianidae. The record is from RefSeq and is a predicted model, not a curated record.